This 650-nucleotide ribosomal RNA is filed under the name uncultured Actinomycetes bacterium. Its description in RNAcentral is "bacterial SSU rRNA". It matches the Rfam family "Bacterial small subunit ribosomal RNA", at positions 1 to 654 of the family's 1533-position model. The record is from RNAcentral. Lineage: Bacteria; Bacillati; Actinomycetota; Actinomycetes.
GCCCUUAGAGUUUGAUCCUGGCUCAGGACGAACGCUGGCGGCGUGCUUAACACAUGCAAGUCGAGCGGUAAGGCCCUUCGGGGUACACGAGCGGCGAACGGGUGAGUAACACGUGAGCAACCUGCCCCUGACUCUGGGAUAAGCGGUGGAAACGCCGUCUAAUACCGGAUACGACCUUCCACCUCAUGGUGGAGGGUGGAAAGUUUUUUCGGUCAGGGAUGGGCUCGCGGCCUAUCAGCUUGUUGGUGGGGUAACGGCCUACCAAGGCGAUUACGGGUAGCCGGCCUGAGAGGGCGACCGGCCACACUGGGACUGAGACACGGCCCAGACUCCUGCGGGAGGCAGCAGUGGGGAAUAUUGCGCAAUGGGCGAAAGCCUGACACAGCGACGCCGCGUGGGGGAUGACGGCCUUCGGGUUGUAAACCUCUUUUACCACCAACGCAGGCUCCGGGUUCUCUCGGGGUUGACGGUAGGUGGGGAAUAAGGACCGGCUAACUACGUGCCAGCAGCCGCGGUAAUACGUAGGGUCCGAGCGUUGUCCGGAAUUAUUGGGCGUAAAGAGCUCGUAGGCGGCGUGUCGCGUCUGCUGUGAAAGACCCGGGGCUUAACUCCGGUUCUGCAGUGGAUACGGGCAUGCUAGAAGGUAGGUA